RNAcentral lists this transfer RNA (64 nucleotides) under Megalophasma granulatum. RNAcentral's name for it is "tRNA-Met". The record is from RNAcentral. Lineage: Eukaryota; Metazoa; Arthropoda; Insecta; Phasmatodea; Lonchodidae.
AGAAAAAUAAGCUAAUUUAAGCUAAUGGGUUCAUACCUCAUAAAUGGAAUCAUUCCUUUUUCUA